AUUGAACGCUGGCGGCAUGCCUUACACAUGCAAGUCGAACGGUAACAGGUCUUCGGAUGCUGACGAGUGGCGAACGGGUGCGUAAUACAUCGGAACGUGCCUAGUAGUGGGGGAUAACUGCUCGAAAUAGUGGCUAAUACCGCAUGAGAUCUACGGAUGAAAGCAGGGGAUCGCCAGACCUUGUGCUACUAGAGCGGCCGAUGGCAGAUUAGGUAGUUGGUGGGAUAAAAGCUUACCAAGCCGACGAUCUGUAGCUGGUCUGAGAGGACGAUCAGCCACACUGGACUGAGACACGGCCCAGACUCCUACGGGAGGCAGCAGUGGGGAAUUUUGGACAAUGGGCGCAGGCCUGAUCCAGCAAUGCCGCGUGCAGGAUGAAGGCCUUCGGGUUGUAAACUGCUUUUGUACGGAACGAAAAGCCCUGGGUUAAUACCCUGGGGUCAUGACGGUACCGUAAGAAUAAGCACCGGCUAACUACGUGCCAGCCGCCGCCGUAA
Molecule: ribosomal RNA, 497 nt
Filed under: uncultured bacterium
Lineage: Bacteria
Description: partial 16S ribosomal RNA
Rfam family: Bacterial small subunit ribosomal RNA
Source: RNAcentral